This 241-nucleotide ribosomal RNA is filed under the name uncultured bacterium. RNAcentral's name for it is "partial 16S ribosomal RNA". It matches the Rfam family "Bacterial small subunit ribosomal RNA", at positions 524 to 755 of the family's 1533-position model. The record is from RNAcentral.
UACAGAGGUCCCGAGCGUUUGGUUCGGAUUCAUUGGGCGUAAAGGGUGCGUAGGCGGGUCUUAAGUCAGGGGUGAAAUCCUGGAGCUCAACUCCAGAACUGCCUUUGAUACUUGAGGAUGCUUGAGUUCGGGAGAGGUGAGUGGAACUGCGAGUGUAGAGGUGAAAUUCGUAGAUAUUCGCAAGAACGACCAGUGGCGGAACGGCGGCUCACUGGCCCGGUACUGGACGACUGAGGUGGCG